This 633-nucleotide ribosomal RNA is filed under the name Enterobacter sp. RNAcentral's name for it is "bacterial SSU rRNA". It matches the Rfam family "Bacterial small subunit ribosomal RNA", at positions 852 to 1460 of the family's 1533-position model. Lineage: Bacteria; Pseudomonadati; Pseudomonadota; Gammaproteobacteria; Enterobacterales; Enterobacteriaceae. The record is from RNAcentral.
CUAACGCCGUUAAAAUCGUCCGCCGGGGGAGUACGGCCGCAAGGUUAAACUCCAAAUGAAUUGACGGGGGCCCCACAAGCGGCGGAGCAUGUGGUUUAAUUCGAUGCAACGCGAAGAACCUUACCUACUCUUGACAUCCAGAGAACUUACCAGAGAUGCUUUGGUGCUUCGGGAACUCUGAGACAGGUGCUGCAUGGCUGUCGUCAGCUCCUGUUGUGAAAUGUUGGGUUAAGUCCCGCAACGAGCGCAACCCUUAUCCUUUGUUGCCAGCGGUUCGGCCGGGAACUCAAAGGAGACUGCCAGUGAUAAACUGGAGGAAGGUGGGGAUGACGUCAAGUCAUCAUGGCCCUUACGAGUAGGGCCACACACGUGCUACAAUGGCGCAUACAAAGAGAAGCGACCUCGCGAGAGCAAGCGGACCUCAUAAAGUGCGUCGUAGUCCGGAUUGGAGUCUGCAACUCGACUCCAUGAAGUCGGAAUCGCUAGUAAUCGUGGAUCAGAAUGCCACGGUGAAUACGUUCCCGGGCCUUGUACACACCGCCCGUCACACCAUGGGAGUGGGUUGCAAAAGAAGUAGGUAGCUUUUAUUCGGGACAACGCGUCGCGCUCUCUCACAAAAGCUACAUCUACUUG